This 71-nucleotide transfer RNA is filed under the name Loxodonta africana (African savanna elephant). It matches the Rfam family "tRNA". Rfam says of the family: Transfer RNA (tRNA) molecules are approximately 80 nucleotides in length. Their secondary structure includes four short double-helical elements and three loops (D, anti-codon, and T loops). The record is from Rfam by way of RNAcentral. Lineage: Eukaryota; Metazoa; Chordata; Mammalia; Proboscidea; Elephantidae.
GCAUUGAUGGUUCAGUGGUGGAAUUCUUGCCUUCCAUGCGGGAGACCCAGGUUCGACUCCUGACCAAUACA